UUCAAAGGGAAGAAGCGUCGAUAGUGGCUCCCAAGGUGGCCAAAACCUGUUAUGUGCAGAGCUGAAACAAUUUCGGAAGCAAGAAGGUUGCGUAUAGGUUACGCUCUCGAGCCGAAGAAAGUCCAUAGCUUCAUAACUCAAUCUCUUGUAAGUCAUACCCAAAAUCAAGGUACCGACCUCUUUCAGUUGAAUGAAUUCUCCUCCCAAAACCCUAGCGUCGUCAUAAUCGAUU
RNAcentral lists this long non-coding RNA (232 nucleotides) under Panax ginseng (ginseng). RNAcentral's name for it is "long non-coding RNA (PGIN_LNC011531)". Lineage: Eukaryota; Viridiplantae; Streptophyta; Magnoliopsida; Apiales; Araliaceae. The record is from RNAcentral.